GGUUAAGCGACUAAGCGUACACGGUGGAUGCCCUGGCAGUCAGAGGCGAUGAAGGGCGUGCUAAUCUGCGAUAAGCGCCGGUAAGGUGAUAUGAACCGUUAUAACCGGCGAUACCCGAAUGGGGAAACCCAGUGUGAUUCGUCACACUAUCAUUACGUGAAUACAUAGCGUAAUGAAGCGAACCGGGGGAACUGAAACAUCUAAGUACCCCGAGGAAAAGAAAUCAACCGAGAUUCCCCCAGUAGCGGCGAGCGAACGGGGAGGAGCCCAGAGCCUGAAUCAGCAUGUGUGUUAGUGGAAGCGUCUGGAAAGGCGCGCGAUACAGGGUGACAGCCCCGUACACAAAAGCGCAUGUGUUGUGAGCUCGAUGAGUAGGGCGGGACACGUGGUAUCCUGUCUGAAUAUGGGGGGACCAUCCUCCAAGGCUAAAUACUCCUGACUGACCGAUAGUGAACCAGUACCGUGAGGGAAAGGCGAAAAGAACCCCGGCGAGGGGAGUGAAAAAGAACCUGAAACCGUGUACGUACAAGCAGUGGGAGCACCCUUUGGGGUGUGACUGCGUACCUUUUGUAUAAUGGGUCAGCGACUUAUAUUCUGUAGCAAGGUUAACCGAAUAGGGGAGCCGGAGGGAAACCGAGUCUUAAUUGGGCGUUAAGUUGCAGGGUAUAGACCCGAAACCCGGUGAUCUAGCCAUGGGCAGGUUGAAGGUUGGGUAACACUAACUGGAGGACCGAACCGACUAAUGUUGAAAAAUUAGCGGAUGACCUGUGGCUGGGGGUGAAAGGCCAAUCAAACCGGGAGAUAGCUGGUUCUCCCCGAAAGCUAUUUAGGUAGCGCCUCGUGAACUCAUCUCCGGGGGUAGAGCACUGUUUCGGCUAGGGGGCCAUCCCGGCUUACCAACCCGAUGCAAACUGCGAAUACCGGAGAAUGUUAUCACGGGAGACACACGGCGGGUGCUAACGUCCGUCGUGAAGAGGGAAACAACCCAGACCGCCAGCUAAGGUCCCAAAGUCAUAGUUAAGUGGGAAACGAUGUGGGAAGGCCCAGACAGCCAGGAUGUUGGCUUAGAAGCAGCCAUCAUUUAAAGAAAGCGUAAUAGCUCACUGGUCGAGUCGGCCUGCGCGGAAGAUGUAACGGGGCUAAACUAUGCACCGAAGCUGCGGCAGCGACACU
Molecule: ribosomal RNA, 1173 nt
Filed under: Salmonella enterica
Lineage: Bacteria; Pseudomonadati; Pseudomonadota; Gammaproteobacteria; Enterobacterales; Enterobacteriaceae
Also listed under: 1 other name
Description: partial 23S ribosomal RNA
Rfam family: Bacterial large subunit ribosomal RNA
Source: RNAcentral